AUGUGCUUCGGUGCUGCUGCCACUGCCAUCUCCAUCGAAGCGGGUGCUGUUCUUCGAGGCCGCCGUGCCGCCUUCUUGUUGCUGUGUCAGUGUGCCUUCUUCUCCAGUGCCGGCGAGGUCGACCUGCACCUGGAUGACAACCUCCUCUGGUCUCAGGGGCUGAUCAAUCAAUGGAGCUUGUUUGCCGAUGGUGGCGGUGAUGGCUGCCCUGCAGAGCGGGCAGUUGGCGCAGCCCUGGAGCCAAGUGCCGAUGCACUCCGCGUGGAAGACAUGGAGGCAGCCCGGCAGGAGCCUCACACUCUCCCCCUCCUGGAACUCGCCGAGGCACACGGCGCACUCGCUCGCGUCGGCGCUGUUCUUGGCGGCCUUGCUGUAUCUGAACUCCGGCAGCGCCCGGAUGGCAGGCUCCCCGAGCCCGCCACGACCCUCGUCAGGAGCCGGCCCGUGCACCACGGGAAGCUCAUGGUCGUAGGCGGCGCUGCUGCGACUGCGACGGCGGCGGGAGAGAGAAAUUAUGAACUUCUGGGCGCGCCGGAGUCGGGAGAGGAGGCGUGCCAGGUGAGGCAGCAGCGGAUGACCAAGACGUAG
Molecule: ribosomal RNA, 588 nt
Filed under: Triticum aestivum (bread wheat)
Lineage: Eukaryota; Viridiplantae; Streptophyta; Magnoliopsida; Poales; Poaceae
Description: partial small subunit ribosomal RNA
Source: RNAcentral